GACAGAGGGUGCAAACGUUGUUCGGAUUUACUGGGCGUAAAGCGUGUGUAGGCGGCUUUGUAUGUCGGAUGUGAAAGCCCACGGCUCAACCGUGGAAGUGCAUCCGAAACUGCAUAGCUUGAGUCCCGGAGAGGAAGGUGGAAUGCUUGGUGUAGAGGUGAAAUUCGUAGAUAUCAAGCAGAACACCUGCGGCGAAGGCGGCCUUCUGGACGGUGACUGACGCUGAGACGACGAAAGCAGA
This 241-nucleotide ribosomal RNA is filed under the name uncultured bacterium. RNAcentral describes it as "partial 16S ribosomal RNA". It matches the Rfam family "Bacterial small subunit ribosomal RNA", at positions 524 to 763 of the family's 1533-position model. The record is from RNAcentral.